GAGAGAGCUUCCUUGAGUCCAUUCACAGGUCGUGAUAUGAUCCAAUUAGCUUCCGACUCAUUCAUCCAAAUACCGAGUCACCAAACUUCGAACUAGACUCGUUAAAUGAAUGAAUGAUGCGGUAGACAAAUUGGAUCAUUGAUUCUCUUUGAUUGGACUGAAGGGAGCUCCCUU
This 174-nucleotide microRNA precursor is filed under the name Camelina sativa (false flax). RNAcentral describes it as "miR319a stem-loop (cas-MIR319a)". Its record names the gene cas-MIR319a. It matches the Rfam family "MIR159 microRNA precursor family". The record is from miRBase by way of RNAcentral. Lineage: Eukaryota; Viridiplantae; Streptophyta; Magnoliopsida; Brassicales; Brassicaceae.